GCUGUUCUGUCUCUUAAAUAAAUG
This 24-nucleotide non-coding RNA is filed under the name Cricetulus griseus (Chinese hamster). The record is from RNAcentral. Lineage: Eukaryota; Metazoa; Chordata; Mammalia; Rodentia; Cricetidae.